This 1080-nucleotide long non-coding RNA is filed under the name Homo sapiens (human). Its description in RNAcentral is "non-protein coding lnc-PRAC2-3:2". The record is from RNAcentral. Lineage: Eukaryota; Metazoa; Chordata; Mammalia; Primates; Hominidae.
AUUUGUAAAGACCACUUGUGAAGGAAACUCCAUAACCUCCCUGUGGUGGAGUGUAUUAUUGCUCAGCAAACAUUCAUUCUUCUCUAUUUCCCUCCGUUGGGGGAGCAAACUUCCCCACUCCAUUGAUGAUGGGUCUAGCCAUGUGACUUGUUUUAGCCAAUGGAAUGUAAACAGAGGCUUUAACUCUACUUGCUUGGUUAAGCUUGGUCUCUUGCACCUCUACCCUUUGCCACGAGAAGAGCAUGCCCUUGUCACUUCGGCCUGAGUCCCAGAAUGAGAAGUUACAUGGAGCAGACCUGAACAAGAUUCACAACCUGAACAGAAUCACUGCAGCCAAUCCACAAACCUGUGAGCAAAAAAUAAAUGUUAUAAAUUUCUGAGAUUUUAGAUUAGUUGUUAUGCAGCAUUAUUUUAGUAAAGUUGACUGAUACACUCCCUCAGGUACCUGUUCCACUGAACUUUUGCUGCAAAGUUCUUCAUUGUGUCUAACCUAAAUCCGUCAUACAUUAAUGUAAAGAUCUAUCUCAUUUGUGGUCCAAAUGAGAAAAUUGUCUACAUUCCUGCCUGGGCAUGGUGGCUCAUGCCUGUAAUCCAGCACUUUGGGAGGCCGAGGUGGGCGAGUCACUUGAGUCAGGAGUUCGAGACCAGCCUGGCCAACAUGGUGAAACCCUGCCUCUACUAAAAAUACAAAAAAUUAGCUGAGCAUGGUGGUGCAUGACUGUAAUCCCAGCUACUUGGGAGGCUGGGUCAGGAGAAUCGCUUUAACUGGGAGGUGGAGGUUGCAGUGAGCCAAGAUCACGCCACUGCACUCCAGAGUGGGAAACAGAGCAAGACUCCACCUCAAAAAGAAGAAGGAGAAGGAGAAGGAGAUUAUCUACAUUCCUGAGGAGGAGAAGUUGUACUUAAACUACCUUGAUCCAACUUCCAGCUUUACAAUCAUUGCCCCCCACCAUGCAUAUAUCAUACAUAUAUACCUGCUAGCAUGAAUACCUGCAUCAUAUCUAGAAUUAAUGGGAAUAGUCAUAGGGCCAAUCUUUCUUAUAUCAAGCAAGCUGAACAAGGGUCCAAGGGAUAAGGCCA